AACCAGGAUUCCCCUAGUAACGGCGAGUGAAGAGGGAAGAGCCCAGCACCGAAGCCUGCGGUAGUUUUACUGUUAGGCAAUGUGGUGUUUGGGUCGGCUCGCGGGAUUGCCACUCCACUCGAAGUCCAGCAUUGAGUAUGGUCCACUGGAUUUGGCCCAGAGAGGGUGAAAGGCCCGUACGGGUGGAGGUUUCAGACAAGUGAGGCAAUUCACUAGGCCGGCCUUAGAGUCGGGUUGUUUGGGAAUGCAGCCCAAAGUGGGUGGUAAACUCCAUCCAAGGCUAAAUACUAGCACGAGUCCGAUAGCAAACAAGUACCGUGAGGGAAAGUUGAAAAGUACUUUGAAGAGAGAGUAAACAGUACGUGAAACCGCAUGCAGGUAAACGGGUGGCGUCAAGCUUUAACCUCAGAGGAUUCAGUCGGCUGGAAUGUAGUUAUGCCUCUGCGCAUGAACAGGCCAGUGUAAGAAUGGGUAGUCCACUGGAAGACAGUGGGCCCUGCCGCAAGGUGGGGAUGUGUGUACCGGGUGGAAGCCGGAGCACGCUGCCCGACUGUUGGGCCAUCCAGCCGGUGCACUUUCUCUGAGUUGGCACCACGACUGGUGGAACUGCCAGUCUACCAUGUCCAAGUCGUAUUCGGUUGGUCCUUGUGGCCUACGGGGUGCGAUCACGGGCAAACUCGGUGAACGGCGUUGACGUGUCCUUCGGGGCCUGUCCUCGUGCUAUCGGUAACCGGUUGUCUCAAAGGCCCGCCCGUCGUUGUUUUAGCCCUCGACGGGCGGAAGUGGGGCAUGGUGGUAAGAAUAACUGUGCAGGGCACCGUUUUUUAGAGCUGCAUCUCCUAUGCGGGCGGUACGCGCGCUACAAGCGUUUGACCAGGGGCGCAGGCCACCGCGUGCCUGACCGUCGGGUCUGACUGCCGUGUUGCCCGCGAAAAGUGGGUUCGGCAGUGGCCCGGCGCAGGACGCGCGGUGCACCCGCUCCAGUGCCGUUCGCAGAAGGCAUGUCAGUCAGUGGUGUAUUGGUAGACGAGCUACCCGACCCGUCUUGAAACACGGACCAAGGAGUUUAACAUGUGUGCAAGUCACUGGGUCCUACGAAACCCAAAGGCGCAAUGAAAGUAAUGCUGCGUAUCAUUCGUGGUGCGUGGUUAGGUGAGAUCCCGCCGUGUCUCGGCACGCUACUCCAGUCGCAGCCAGUCGAAGCGCGGUGGGCGCAUCACCGGCCCGUCCCAUGAUGUGGUCAUUGGAAAAGGCUGCCGCUGGCCUCGGUCGGUGGUAGUACUCCCAGUGCGUCAUCGGGGCGGAGCAUGAGCAGACAUGUUGAGACCCGAAAGAUGGUGAACUAUGCUUGCGUAGGUUGAAGCCAGAGGAAACUCUGGUGGAGGACCGCAGCGAUUCUGACGUGCAAAUCGAUCGUCAAACGUGAGUAUAGGGGCGAAAGACUAAUCG
RNAcentral lists this ribosomal RNA (1449 nucleotides) under Rhinebothrium atabaki. RNAcentral describes it as "Rhinebothrium sp. r KG-2020 partial large subunit ribosomal RNA". It matches the Rfam family "Eukaryotic large subunit ribosomal RNA", at positions 67 to 937 of the family's 3401-position model. Lineage: Eukaryota; Metazoa; Platyhelminthes; Cestoda; Rhinebothriidea; Rhinebothriidae. The record is from RNAcentral.